Molecule: long non-coding RNA, 276 nt
Filed under: Olea europaea subsp. europaea
Lineage: Eukaryota; Viridiplantae; Streptophyta; Magnoliopsida; Lamiales; Oleaceae
Source: RNAcentral
GAUACAAAGAAAAAGGAAUAAAUAUAGUGAUAAUUUGAUUCUUCUUCGUCAUAGUAAAUAGGCGAGAAAAUAGAAUUUCUUUCUUCGUCUUUACAAAAACAAAAAAGAAAAAGAAAAAGAAAAAAAGGAGGAAGUUGUGGCACGUUCACUAAAAAAAAUCCUUUUGUAGUCAAUUAUUUAUUAAGAAAAAUUGAUAAGCUUAAUAAAAACGCAAAAAAAGAAGUAAUAGUAACUUGGUCCCAGGCAUCUACCAUUAUGCAUACAAUGACUGGUCAU